UGUCCUAAGUAGCCUAGUGGUCAUGGCAUCUGCCCGGUAAGCGGAAGGUCGUGGGUUCGAUUCCCAUCCCUUGACAC
This 77-nucleotide transfer RNA is filed under the name Cordylochernes scorpioides. RNAcentral's name for it is "tRNA-Thr". The stretch from base 9 to 68 matches the Rfam family "tRNA", at positions 7 to 64 of the family's 71-position model. Rfam says of the family: Transfer RNA (tRNA) molecules are approximately 80 nucleotides in length. Their secondary structure includes four short double-helical elements and three loops (D, anti-codon, and T loops). Lineage: Eukaryota; Metazoa; Arthropoda; Arachnida; Pseudoscorpiones; Chernetidae. The record is from RNAcentral.